RNAcentral lists this ribosomal RNA (253 nucleotides) under uncultured bacterium. RNAcentral describes it as "partial 16S ribosomal RNA". It matches the Rfam family "Bacterial small subunit ribosomal RNA", at positions 524 to 776 of the family's 1533-position model. The record is from RNAcentral.
UACGUAGGGUGCAAGCGUUGUCCGGAAUUAUUGGGCGUAAAGAGCUCGUAGGCGGUCUGUCGCGUCUGCUGUGAAAACUCGGGGCUUAACCCCGGGCCUGCAGUGGGUACGGGCAGACUAGAGUGCGGUAGGGGAGACUGGAAUUCCUGGUGUAGCGGUGAAAUGCGCAGAUAUCAGGAGGAACACCGGUGGCGAAGGCGGGAUCCUGGGCCAGUACUGACGCUGAGGAGCGAAAGCGUGGGGAGCAAACAGG